Molecule: ribosomal RNA, 390 nt
Filed under: uncultured archaeon
Lineage: Archaea
Description: bacterial SSU rRNA
Rfam family: Archaeal small subunit ribosomal RNA
Source: RNAcentral
AUGGGGGAAACCCCGACGAGGGAAAGCCAAGUGCCAGCACAAUGUGCUGGCUGUUUUCCUGUCUAAAAAACAGGGAGAGUAAGGGCUGGGUAAGACGGGUGCCAGCCGCCGCGGUAAUACCUGCAGCCCAAGUGGUGCUCGUUAUUAUUGGGUCUAAAACGUCCGUAGUCGGCUGAGUAGAUGCCCGGGUAAAUCGCAGCGCUUAACGUUGCGAAUUCCGGGUAGACCGCUCGGCUAGGGAGUGGGAGAGGUGCGAGGUACUCUGAGGGUAGGGGUAAAAUCCUGUAAUCCUUGGGGGACCACCAGUGGCGAAGGCGUCGCACUAGAACACGUCCGACGAUCAGGGACGAAGCCCUGGGGCGCAAACGGGAUUAGAUACCCCGGUAGUCC